CCUACGGGAGGCAGCAGUAGGGAAUAUUGCUCAAUGGGGGAAACCCUGAAGCAGCAACGCCGCGUGGGGGAUGAUGGUUUUAGGAUUGUUAACUCCUUUUGUUAGAGGAGCUAAUGACGGUAUCUAACGAAUAAGCACCGGCUAACUACGUGCCAGCAGCCGCUGGCAUCCGGAGGGCGCCAGCGUUACUCGGAAUCAAUGGGGGGAAAGAGCGCGUAGGCGGGAUAGUAAGUCCGAUGUGAAAUCCUAUGGCUUAACCACAGAACUGCAAUUGAAACUGUUGCUCUUGAGUUGGAGAGAGGUAGGCGGAAUUCGUGGUGUAGGGGUAAAAUCCGUAGAGAUCAAGAGGAAUCCUCAUUGCGAAGGCGACAUGCUGG
RNAcentral lists this ribosomal RNA (377 nucleotides) under uncultured bacterium. Its description in RNAcentral is "partial 16S ribosomal RNA". It matches the Rfam family "Bacterial small subunit ribosomal RNA", at positions 338 to 732 of the family's 1533-position model. The record is from RNAcentral.